This 254-nucleotide ribosomal RNA is filed under the name uncultured bacterium. RNAcentral describes it as "partial 16S ribosomal RNA". It matches the Rfam family "Bacterial small subunit ribosomal RNA", at positions 524 to 776 of the family's 1533-position model. The record is from RNAcentral.
UACGUAGGUGGCAAGCGUUGUCCGGAAUUAUUGGGCGUAAAGCGCGCGCAGGCGGCUUCUUAAGUCUGAUGUGAAAUCUCGGGGGCUCAACCCCGAGCGGCCAUUGGAAACUGGGAAGCUUGAGUACAGAAGAGGAGAGUGGAAUUCCACGUGUAGCGGUGAAAUGCGUAGAUAUGUGGAGGAACACCAGUGGCGAAGGCGACUCUCUGGUCUGUAACUGACGCUGAGGCGCGAAAGCGUGGGGAGCAAACAGG